GACGAACGCUGGCGGCGUGCUUAACACAUGCAAGUCGAACGGUAAGGCCCUUCGGGGUACACGAGUGGCGAACGGGUGAGUAACACGUGGGUGAUCUGCCCUGCACUUUGGGAUAAGCCUGGGAAACUGGGUCUAAUACCGGAUAGGACCAUGGACUUCACGGUUUGUGGUGGAAAGCUUUUGCGGUGUGGGAUGGGCCCGCGGCCUAUCAGCUUGUUGGUGGGGUAAUGGCCUACCAAGUAGAAUAAUUUAAUAAUUCCGGAGAGGGUGUCCGGCCGCAAUGGGACUGAGAUACGGACCAGACUCCUACGGGAGGCAGCAGUGGGGAAUAUUGCACAAUGGGCGCAAGCCUGAUGCAGCGACGCCGAGGGGGGGAUGACGGCCUUCGGGUUGUAAACCUCUUUCAGUAGGGACGAAGCGCAAGUGACGGUACCUGGAGAAUAAGCCCCGGCAAACUUCGUGCCAGCAGCCGCCGUAA
RNAcentral lists this ribosomal RNA (478 nucleotides) under uncultured bacterium. RNAcentral's name for it is "partial 16S ribosomal RNA". It matches the Rfam family "Bacterial small subunit ribosomal RNA", at positions 28 to 523 of the family's 1533-position model. The record is from RNAcentral.